CGGCGGACGGGUGAGUAACGCGUGGGUAACCUGCCUCAUCCAGGGGGAUAACAGUUGGAAACGGCUGCUAAUACCGCAUAAGCGCACAGUACCGCAUGGUACGGUGUGAAAAACUCCGGUGGUAUGAGAUGGACCCGCGUCUGAUUAGGUAGUUGGUGGGGUAACGGCCUACCAAGCCGACGAUCAGUAGCCGACCUGAGAGGGUGACCGGCCACAUUGGGACUGAGACACGGCCCAA
RNAcentral lists this ribosomal RNA (238 nucleotides) under uncultured bacterium. RNAcentral's name for it is "partial 16S ribosomal RNA". It matches the Rfam family "Bacterial small subunit ribosomal RNA", at positions 96 to 334 of the family's 1533-position model. The record is from RNAcentral.